This 378-nucleotide ribosomal RNA is filed under the name uncultured delta proteobacterium. Its description in RNAcentral is "bacterial SSU rRNA". It matches the Rfam family "Bacterial small subunit ribosomal RNA", at positions 521 to 896 of the family's 1533-position model. The record is from RNAcentral. Lineage: Bacteria; Deltaproteobacteria.
UAAUACGGAGGGUGCAAGCGUUGUUCGGAAUUACUGGGCGUAAAGGGCGCGUAGGCGGUACUGUAAGUCAGGUGUGAAAGUCCUGGGCUCAACCCAGGAAGUGCAUCUGAAACUGCAGAACUUGAGUAUCGGAGGGGAGAGUGGAAUUCCAGGUGUAGAGGUGAAAUUCGUAGAUAUCUGGAGGAACACCGGUGGCGAAGGCGACUUUCUGGACGAAUACUGACGCUGAGGCGCGAAAGCGUGGGGAGCAAACAGGAUUAGAUACCCUGGUAGUCCACAGCUGUAAACGAUGUGCACUAGAUGUAGCGGGUGUUGACCCCUGCUGUGUCGCAGCUAACGCAUUAAGUGCACCGCCUGGGGAGUACGGUCGCAAGAUUA